This 253-nucleotide ribosomal RNA is filed under the name uncultured bacterium. RNAcentral's name for it is "partial 16S ribosomal RNA". It matches the Rfam family "Bacterial small subunit ribosomal RNA", at positions 524 to 776 of the family's 1533-position model. The record is from RNAcentral.
UACAGAGGUCUCAAGCGUUGUUCGGAUUCAUUGGGCGUAAAGGGUGUGUAGGUGGCGCGCUAAGUCGGGUGUGAAAUUUCGGAGCUUAACUCCGAAACUGCAUUCGAUACUGGCGUGCUUGAGGACUGGAGAGGAGACUGGAAUUCAUGGUGUAGCAGUGAAAUGCGUAGAGAUCAUGAGGAAGACCAGUAGCGAAGGCGGGUCUCUGGACAGUUCCUGACACUGAGACACGAAGGCCAGGGGAGCAAACGGG